Molecule: ribosomal RNA, 253 nt
Filed under: uncultured bacterium
Lineage: Bacteria
Description: partial 16S ribosomal RNA
Rfam family: Bacterial small subunit ribosomal RNA
Source: RNAcentral
UACGAAGGGUGCAAGCGUUAUUCGGAAUCAUUGGGCGUAAAGCGCGCGCAGGCGGAUUGAUAAGUCAGGUGUGAAAUCUCGAAGCUCAACUUCGAAACUGCGCCUGAAACUAUUAGUCUAGAAUGUCGGAGGGGGCAGGGGAAUUUCACGUGUAGGGGUAAAAUCCGUAGAGAUGUGAAGGAACACCGGGGGCGAAGGCGCCUGCCUGGACGACUAUUGACGCUGAGGCGCGGAAGCGUGGGGAGCAAACAGG